AGCGCCGACGAAAGCGAUGGCGAAGGAUCGGGAUGGAUGGAUCGGAAGGAUCGAGAGGAAUGGAUCGGGACAAAGCGACGAUCGAAAGAAGGAAUCCGAGUAUUCGGAAAAUGG
This 114-nucleotide small RNA is filed under the name Caenorhabditis elegans. RNAcentral describes it as "Unclassified non-coding RNA H37A05.7". The record is from RNAcentral. Lineage: Eukaryota; Metazoa; Nematoda; Chromadorea; Rhabditida; Rhabditidae.